Molecule: ribosomal RNA, 301 nt
Filed under: uncultured bacterium
Lineage: Bacteria
Description: partial 16S ribosomal RNA
Rfam family: Bacterial small subunit ribosomal RNA
Source: RNAcentral
CAGUAGCCGCGGUAAUACAGAGGGUGCGAGCGUUAAUCGGAUUUACUGGGCGUAAAGCGUGCGUAGGCGGCUUCUUAAGUCGGAUGUGAAAUCCCUGAGCUUAACUUAGGAAUUGCAUUCGAUACUGGGAAGCUAGAGUAUGGGAGAGGAUGGUAGAAUUCCAGGUGUAGCGGUGAAAUGCGUAGAGAUCUGGAGGAAUACCGAUGGCGAAGGCAGCCAUCUGGCCUAAUACUGACGCUGAGGUACUAAAGCAUGGGGAGCAAACAGGAUUAGAUACCCGUGUAGUCCCUGUCUCUUAUAA